Molecule: long non-coding RNA, 2326 nt
Filed under: Homo sapiens (human)
Lineage: Eukaryota; Metazoa; Chordata; Mammalia; Primates; Hominidae
Description: PREDICTED lncRNA (TCONS_00160839)
Source: RNAcentral
AGGAAACACAUUUCUACUGUUUAAGCCACUUGGCUGGGAGUACUUGGUUAUGGCAGCCUGAGCAGACUAAACCAGCACCUCAAAGAGUUGUUAUAGGGUAUGCUUAGUGGUAACUGGUUCCUAAAGGCCUUGCUUUCUAAGGCUGACUCCUCACCCUGCAAGGAUGCAUUCUCCCCACUGGCAGAUAUGCAACCAGGAACAGGCAUUAACACGCUUUAUUCCCAGAGUUUUAAUAUUUUCCAUUGCAUAAAAUAUUUGUUCAUGAAAAUGACAAAAUUGCUAUUAGAUUCUAUCACCACAUCUCUGUUGAUUUUACUUUCUGCAAACACAUACAAGUAAUGUAGGCAUACAGUUAAAAAUGAAACCUUAUCCUGUAGUUCCAGCUACUAGGGAGGCUGAAGCAAGAGAAUGGCAUGAACCUGGGAGGCGGAGCUUGUCGUGAGCCCAGAUCAGGCCACUACACUCCAGCCGGGGCAACAGAGCGCAACUCCGUCUCAAAACAAACAAACAAAACAAAACAAAAAAAACUUAUAGACAAGUACAAAAUGAGAAGAAAAAGUCCCUUUCCCUUCAUGCCUCUACUUCCUGCUGUAUUCUCAAAGAACUAUCAUAGGAACGUACUGGGAAAACCAAAAGAAUUCACGGAUCCUUUGAAAGAAGACGCACACCACUGUAAAUUCUGUGGAACAGGAGAAAAACUGCCAGCCUCCAGCUAGGACACAAUUCUGGUGUUGCAAUGCAGGUCAGUGUCCUGUAUUAGUUUUCUAUGCUGCAUAACACAUUGCCACAUGGAUUCUCUGCUCGGUGUCUCACAAGGUGGGAAUAAAGGUGUCAGCAAAUUGUGUUCCUUUCUGCAAGGCCCUGGGGAAGAAUUCACUUUCGAGCUCAUUCAAAUUGUCAGCAGAACUUUAGUUCCUUGCAGUUCUCUUCAUCCUCGAGGCAACAGCGUCCCAUCCAGGCACGCUGAGUCUUUCAUAAGCUUCAAAUGUCUCCUCUCCCCUGUCUUGCUCUUUAGGGGUUAAGGGUGAUUCCACCAGGCCAACCCAGAUAAAUCCAGGAUAACCUCCCUAUUUUAAAGUCAACUGAUUAGAAACCUGUCCACAAGGCUCUUUUGCCUUGUAAAGUAACAGAUUCAUAGUCCCAGAAAUUAGGGUUUGAAUUCUCUUAGAGGACUAUAAUGCUGCCUGCCAGUCUCCCACCUGGAACUUGCCAGAAAUCAGCACCUAGCACUAAGUCUUUAUUUAAUUUUUUAUGUUUAGAGAGCAGUAUUGCUGUUGCCCAGGCUGGAUUACAGUGGUGCAAUCACCACUCACUGCAGCCUCAACCUCCUAAGCUCAAGCCAUCCUUCAUCUCUGCCUAGACUAGCCCACUAUAGGUUUGCCACCAUGCCCAGCUCUUUUUUUUUUAAAGAGAUCUGGUCUGGAUAUGUUGCCUAGGCAGGUAUCAAACUCUUGGGCUUGAACAAUCCUCUUGUGUCUGGAGUUGGUUCCUUCCGGUGGGUUCCUGGUCUUCGAGAAUGAAGCCAUGGACCUUGCUGGUGAGUGUUACAGCUCUUAAAGAUGGCAGGGACCCUGCAGUAGCAAGGUUUAUUGUGAAAACAGAAAGAAUAAAGCUUCCGCAAAGCUGACCGGGACCCAAGCAGUUGUCGCUGCCGGCUGGGGUGGUGGCCAGCUUUUAUUCCCUUAUUGGCCCCUCCCAUGUUCCGUUUCUGUCCUAUCAGAGUGCCCUUUUUUCAAUCCUCCCCGCAAUUGGCUACUUUUAGAAUACCGCUGAUUGGUGCAUUUUACAGAGCACUGAUUGGUGCGUUUUACAAUUUUCUUGUAAGACAGAAAAGUUCCUGAUUGGUGCAUUUUACAAUCCUCUUGUAAGAAAAGUUCCCCAAGUCCCCACUGCACUCAGGGAGUCCAGCUGGCUUCACUUGUCACUCCCGCCUUGGCCUCCCAGAAUGCUGGGAUUACAGGCAUGAGCCACUGGCUUGGCCUAGCACCAAGUCUUGAUGAACCACCCAGAGGGACAUCACACCUCAUGCCAGGUGACAGGGAUUGUCACAGUCCCUCCAGGCCUCUCCCUCCUCUGGGAGGAGUCAGUGAAGUUGGUUGGUACAGGAGCCCAGGACCACCUGCUUUGCCCGCCAGGGCUUACCUGACAGUUGGCCGGCAAGUACUUACCAUUAUUAUUGUUUUAACUUCAUGAUCAACGUUUUAAAAAAUCAGGAGCGGUCUCAUUAAAACUCAGAUUUCCGCUUUCUCUUGAAAAUUCAGCAGCUCUGGCAACCCUGAGUUCCAGGUCAGGCUGGAACUGGGGGCGCCCCAUGGGAAGAGGGGAG